UGGGGAAUUUUGGACAAUGGGCGCAAGCCUGAUCCAGCCAUGCCGCGUGUCUGAAGAAGGCCUUCGGGUUGUAAAGGACUUUUGUCAGGGAAGAAAAGGAUAGGGUUAAUACCCCUGUCUGAUGACGGUACCUGAAGAAUAAGCACCGGCUAACUACGUGCCAGCAGCCGCGGUAAUACGUAGGGUGCGAGCAUUAAUCGGAAUUACUGGGCGUAAAGCGGGCGCAGACGGUUACUUAAGCAGGAUGUGAAAUCCCCGGGCUCAACCUGGGAACUGCGUUCUGAACUGGGUGACUAGAGUGUGUCAGAGGGAGGUAGAAUUCCACGUGUAGCAGUGAAAUGCGUAGAGAUGUGGAGGAAUACCGAUGGCGAAGGCAGCCCCCUGGGAUAACACUGACGUUCAUGCCCGAAAGCGUGGGUAGCAAACAGGAUUAGAUACCCUGGUAGUCCACGCCCUAAACGAUGUCGAUUAGCUGUUGGGCAGCUUGACUGCUUAGUAGCGAAGCUAACGCGUGAAAUCGACCGCCUGGGGAGUACGGUCGCAAGAUUA
Molecule: ribosomal RNA, 549 nt
Filed under: uncultured bacterium
Lineage: Bacteria
Description: bacterial SSU rRNA
Rfam family: Bacterial small subunit ribosomal RNA
Source: RNAcentral